GGAAAGGCUUCGUUCCCCGGUGGGGCGCUCGGGCUUCAAACCCGAGAGGGGCUGCCAGCAGUCCCUGGUGGGUUCGACUCCCACGCUUUUCCGCCA
This 96-nucleotide transfer RNA is filed under the name Kushneria pakistanensis. RNAcentral's name for it is "tRNA-Sec". It matches the Rfam family "Selenocysteine transfer RNA". The record is from RNAcentral. Lineage: Bacteria; Pseudomonadati; Pseudomonadota; Gammaproteobacteria; Oceanospirillales; Halomonadaceae.